UGGUCAAGUUAUUAAGGGUGCAGGGCGGAUGCCUUGGCACUAGGAGCCGAUGAAGGACGUGAUAAGCUGCGAUAAGCUUCGGGGAGUUGCACGUAAACUUUGAUCCGAAGAUUUCCGAAUGAGGAAACUCACUUAGAGUAAUGUCUAAGUAUCAUUAAGUGAAUACAUAGCUUAAUGAGGGGAACUCAGGGAACUGAAACAUCUAAGUACCUGAAGGAAGAGAAAGAAAUUCGAUUCCGUAAGUAGCGGCGAGCGAACGCGGAUUAGCCCAAACCAAUAAAGUUUUCUUUAUUGGGGUUGCGGACAUAUCAUAACGAAGAGGUAUCGUAAUUGAAGAGGUUUGGAAAGACCCACCACAGAAGGUAAUAGUCCUGUAUGUUAAACGAGAAGACUUUAGAUAUGAUCCAGAGUACCACGGGACACGUGAAACCCUGUGGGAAGCAGGAGGGACCACCCUCCAAGGCUAAAUACUACCUAGUGACCGAUAGCGUAUAGUACCGUGAGGGAAAGGUGAAAAGAACCCCGGGAGGGGAGUGAAAUAGAACCUGAAACCCUGCACUUACAAGCUGUGGAAGCACAUUUCUUGUGUGACCGCGUACUUUUUGUAGAACGGGCCAACGAGUUACGUUAAGUAGCAAGGUUAAGCACUUAAGGUGCGGAGCCGUAGCGAAAGCGAGUUUUAACUGAGCGUUCAGUUACUUGACGUAGACCCGAAACCGGGCGACCUACCCAUGAGCAGGAUGAAGCGAAAGUAAAAUUUCGUGGAGGUCCGAACCCACGAGCGUUGAAAAGCUCGGGGAUGACUUGUGGGUAGCGGUGAAAUUCCAAUCGAGCCCGGAGAUAGCUGGUUCUCCCCGAAAUAGCUUUAGGGCUAGCCUCAAGGUGAGAGAUACGGAGGUAGAGCACUGAAUGUCCUAGGGGGUAUUGCACCUACCGAAGACUAUCAAACUCCGAAUGCCGUCAUCUUAUACUUGGGAGUCAGACUGUGGGUGAUAAGAUUCAUAGUCGAAAGGGCAACAGCCCAGAUCGUCAGCUAAGGUCCCUAAAUGUAAGUUAAGUGGUAAAGGAUGUGGGAUUGCACAGACAACCAGGAUGUUGGCUUAGAAGCAGCCACUCAUUCAAAGAGUGCGUAAUAGCUCACUGGUCGAGUGAUCCUGCGCCGAAGAUUUCCGGGGCUAAAACUUACUACCGAAGCUACGGCAUCAGUAAUGAUGGGUAGGGGAGCUUCCCAUACGGGUUGAAGCAUGACCGUAAGGACAUGUGGACAGUAUGGGAGUGAGAAUGUUGGCAUGAGUAGCGAGAUGUGGGUGAGAAUCCCACAGGCCGUAAACCCAAGGUUUCCAGGGGAAGGUUCGUCCGCCCUGGGUUAGUCGGGACCUAAGCUGAGGCCGAAAGGCGUAGGUGAUGGACAACAGGUUGAUAUUCCUGUACUACCGAUAACCGUUUGAGAGAAGGGAUGACACAGUAGGAUAAGCUAAGCACACUGUUGGUUAUGUGUGCCCAAGCAUUGAGGCAGUCAAAGUAGGCAAAUCCGCUUUGAUAAUGCUGGGAUGUGAUGGGGAGCGAAAUUUAGUAGCGAAGUAGCUGAUUUCACACUGUCAAGAAAAGUCUCUAUCGAGGUUAAAGGUACCCGUACCGCAAACCGACACAGGUGGGUGAGGAGAGUAUCCUAAGGCCAGCGAGAGAACUGUUGUUAAGGAACUCGGCAAAAUGACCCCGUAACUUAGGGAUAAGGGGUGCCACCAUCAGGUGGCCGCAGAGAAUAGGCCCAAGCGACUGUUUACCAAAAACAUAGGUUUCUGCUAAGUCGCAAGACGAUGUAUAGGAGCUGACGCCUGCCCGGUGCUGGAAGGUUAAGGGGAUCUGUUAGAGCAAUCGAAGCAGUGAACUUAAGCCCCAGUAAACGGCGGCCGUAACUAUAACGGUCCUAAGGUAGCGAAAUUCCUUGUCGGGUAAGUUCCGACCCGCACGAAAGGCGUAACGAUUUGGGCACUGUCUCAACAACAGACUCGGUGAAAUUGUAAUUCCGGUGAAGAUGCCGGAUACCUGCGACAGGACGGAAAGACCCCAUGGAGCUUUACUGUAGCUUGACAUUGGGUCUUGGUACUACAUGUACAGGAUAGGUGGGAGGCUUUGAAACCAGGACGCCAGUUUUGGCGGAGCCAUCCUUGGGAUACCACCCUUGUAGUACUGGGACUCUAACCAUAGGCCAUGAAUCUGGUCUUGGGACACUGUCAGGUGGGCAGUUUGACUGGGGCGGUCGCCUCCCAAAAGGUAACGGAGGCGCUCAAAGGUUCUCUCAGUACGGUCGGAAAUCGUACGUAGAGUGUAAAGGCAAAAGAGAGCUUGAUUGCAAGACAUACAGGUCGAGCAAGGAUGAAAAUCGGACUUAGUGAUCCGGUGGUUCUGCGUGGAAGGGCCAUCGCUCAACGGAUAAAAGCUACCCUGGGGAUAACAGGCUUAUCUCCCCCAAGAGUCCACAUCGACGGGGAGGUUUGGCACCUCGAUGUCGGCUCAUCACAUCCUGGGGCUGUAGUAGGUCCCAAGGGUUGGGCUGUUCGCCCAUUAAAGUGGUACGCGAGCUGGGUUCAGAACGUCGUGAGACAGUUCGGUCCCUAUCCGUCGCAGGCGUAGGAAAUUUGAGAAGACCUGUCCUUAGUACGAGAGGACCGGGAUGGACGUACCUCUGGUGUACCAGUUGUUCUGCCAAGGGCAUGGCUGGGUAGCUAUGUACGGAAUGGAUAAGCGCUGAAAGCAUCUAAGCGCGAAGCCAACUUCAAGAUAAGAUUUCCCACCGCAAGGGUAAGACCCCAGAAAGACUAUCUGGUUGAUAGGUCGAAGGUGUAAGUGCAGCAAUGUAUUUAGCUUAUCGAUACUAAUAGGUCGAGGACUUGACCAAU
Molecule: ribosomal RNA, 2900 nt
Filed under: Clostridioides difficile
Lineage: Bacteria; Bacillati; Bacillota; Clostridia; Peptostreptococcales; Peptostreptococcaceae
Description: bacterial LSU rRNA
Rfam family: Bacterial large subunit ribosomal RNA
Source: RNAcentral